RNAcentral lists this ribosomal RNA (457 nucleotides) under uncultured bacterium. RNAcentral describes it as "bacterial SSU rRNA". It matches the Rfam family "Bacterial small subunit ribosomal RNA", at positions 29 to 524 of the family's 1533-position model. The record is from RNAcentral.
AACGAACGCUGGCGGCAGGCCUCAAACAUGCAAGUCUAGGGGGUGUAGCAAUACAUCACCGGCGGACGGGUGCGUAACGCGUGGGAAUAUACCUAUCGAUUCGGAACAACUGAGGGAAACUUCAGCUAAUACCGAAUACGUCCUAACGGAGAAAGAUUUAUCGUCGAUAGAUUAGCCCGCGUUCGAUUAGCUAGUUGGUGGGGUAACGGCCCACCAAGGCGACGAUCGAUAGCUGUUCUGAGAGGAAGAUCAGCCACACUGGGACUGAGACACGGCCCAGACUCCUACGGGAGGCAGCAGUUGGGAAUCUUGGACAAUGGGGGGAAACCCUGAUCCAGCCAUGCCGCGUGAGUGAUGAAGGCCUUCGGGUUGGUAAAACUACUUUCGUCGCACGACGAUAAUGACGGUAGUGCGAGAAGAAGCUCCGGCUAACUUACGUGCCAGCAGCCGCGGUAAU